RNAcentral lists this ribosomal RNA (429 nucleotides) under Bacteroidota bacterium. RNAcentral describes it as "Bacteroidetes bacterium partial 16S ribosomal RNA". It matches the Rfam family "Bacterial small subunit ribosomal RNA", at positions 355 to 776 of the family's 1533-position model. The record is from RNAcentral. Lineage: Bacteria; Pseudomonadati; Bacteroidota.
UAGGGAAUCUUCGGCAAUGGGGGGAACCCUGACCGAGCAACGCCGCGUGAGUGAAGAAGGUUUUCGGAUCGUAAAGCUCUGUUGUUAAGGAAGAACGAGUGUGAGAAUGGAAAGUUCAUACUGUGACGGUACUUAACCAGAAAGGGACGGCUAACUACGUGGCAGCAGCCGCGGUAAUACGUAGGUCCCGAGCGUUGUCCGGAUUUAUUGGGCGUAAAGCGAGCGCAGGCGGUUAGAUAAGUCUGAAGUUAAAGGCAGUGGCUCAACCAUUGUAGGCUUUGGAAACUGUUUAACUUGAGUGCAGAAGGGGAGAGUGGAAUUCCAUGUGUAGCGGUGAAAUGCGUAGAUAUAUGGAGGAACACCAGUGGCGAAGGCGACUCUCUGGUCUGUAACUGACGCUGAGGCUCGAAAGCGUGGGUAGCAAACAGG